RNAcentral lists this unclassified non-coding RNA (4729 nucleotides) under Daphnia pulicaria. RNAcentral describes it as "g-protein coupled receptor moody-like, transcript variant X2". The record is from RNAcentral. Lineage: Eukaryota; Metazoa; Arthropoda; Branchiopoda; Diplostraca; Daphniidae.
AGGUGAUCACUCAAAAUCCAAAAAAUGUCGGGGGGGAAACAAAAAGAGAAACUGUACUCUAACAGUGAAAAAACCAACCAGAGAAUGUGCCAGACCUAGGGGAAUGUAAACAGCCAAAACUGCAGCUCGGUGAUGAAUGACACGUGGUUCAACGAAGCGAAAGUAAUUCCUCCCUGGUAACUGUGAUGACACAUACAAGAUUCCUUGUUGAGAAUCAGGUGAAAUGGAUUAAGCGCCAACAAGUUUCUUAACCAGCUGCGCGUGAUGGUUAAACCCCCCCCUAAACCCACUGGAAUGUCUUCAUGGACACUCGUCGCUGGAUUGUUUCAGGAAUAAAAGGAGAAGCAGGACACGGAUGGAGUUCGUGGCCGACGGCGCCGACAACUGCAGCCACUUGAACAGCGCCAGCCAUCGGAUGAUGGCGAUCCUGCAGAACGGCCAUCACAUCAACACCAGCGCCGCCGACGCCAAUGACCUGGGCAUUUACAACGACAUUUUUCUCAGCAGGUCUUCCUUGGGACUGAGGCGCUUUUCGGGUGUCAUGACGAUCUUCAUCAUCGUGAUGGGUGUGUUGGGUAACGCCUUGACUAUCGCCGCGCUCAUCAAGUGUCCGAAAAUACGAAACCUGACGGUGGCUUUCAUCACCAGUUUAUGCGUGGCGGAUUUCAGCUUUUGCGUCAUGGUGAUGCCGUUUACCGCCUACCGUUUCCUCAACGACCGCAAUUACUUUGGAGACGAAGACGUCAUGUGCAUUAUCUUUCCAUUGGUUCAAUACGCCAACGUCGGCGUUUCUUUACUCUCCAUCGCCAUGAUCACCAUUAACCGAUUCGUGAUGAUUGCCUAUCCGCAUUGGUACAAGAGAAUCUACACCCGCCGCAGCGUCGCCGGAAUGGUGGCCUUUGCCUGGAUUUUCUCCAUUUCCACGCUGAUGCCCACCUUGUCUGGUCGAUGGGGGAAAUUUGGUUUUGAUACUUGUCUGGGUUCGUGCUCCAUCGUCGGAUCCAAAGGCCCGAAAACGACAUUGUUCCUGAUCGGAUUCCUCACACCCUGUUUGGCUAUCGUUAUCAGCUACGCCGGAAUCUUUUGGACCGUGAACAAGUCGAGAACGAGAGUUCAGGGACAUGCCGGAACGACCGCUGCGGCUCCCGGUCGCACUGGAAGCGAUUGGCGCCUGACUAAAAUGAUCCUCAUCAUUUUCGUUUCGUUCAUCGUCUGCUACUUGCCCACCGCCAUCAUCAAGAUUGUGGACAAGGAAGUUAAACGUGCCGAUGCCCACGUGAUCAGCUACGUCUUGAUCUACUUCUCGGCCUGCAUCAAUCCCAUUAUCUACGUGACGAUGAACCGACAAUUCAGACAGGCGUACAAAGACGUCCUCUUCUGCACCGGCUGGACAACGGAAACAAAACAUUUCACCAAUAGCGUAUCGGGCUUACACGGCGCAGUCAACAGGACCGCCAUCUCGAAUGCAUCCGUGGCGAUGACGUCUGCUGUGCACCACCCGGAACCAGAGCGACUCGCUGCCAGCCAAAGUAAACGAAUCUUCAGCAAUCCAGUCGACAUUCCUCUCCACCGAUUGAGUAACGCCUGUUGAUCAGCAGCACCACAUCGUUAUCAAGUCGUAUAUAGAGUCAUUAAUAAGCCUUAUGCUUCUCGCGCUGGCCUUUGAUUUCAGUUACAUUUUGGGGGAUUGUUUCGUUAGAUAUUUUUUAUAUUAUUAUUAAACGACGACAUGAAUCCUAUUGGGUAGGAAUGACAGGGAGAACUCGUCUCACACACGAAGAUAAAUUGGUCAUUUCCUUAUAGACUGAGCGCAAUUCCGUGUCUCCCCAAUUUCCCAUGUCUCAUACAAACGUUGACGAUUGACGUGUAAUAAAAACGGAAAAAUGUGGCGACGUCGGUUAUUCGAGCCUUAAGUUGAUUUUGGUUAGUCACAGUAAAAACGUUAACUGUCGGUUGAUCCUUGAAAGCGGACGACAUGUCUGGCCUAGUUUGAUGCGAAUACGUGAUCCUUUAACAGCAUUCGUGUGUGUAUAGCAAAUGUUCGAAAUGAUCCCCCCCCCCCACCACCAGGAGAUAGCGUCGUUAAAUUGAAGUGCCUCUCACUUUCAUUCUGUUCCACAAUGCAGAGAGUAUCACGCCACUGUGCGUGAAAAGGAUUUGCGUGCAAAUCCUUGACGAUACAGAUACCCUCGCCAGCUACGUAUCAAACGGACACCUUCGCUCGCUUUGUGGAUAUUUGCAAUAAUCUAUUCCAAGGUACCCCCCUCCCCCCCACGCUUUUAUUUUUUUAUUCUCUUUCAUUCUAGUUCUGUAGAAUUACGACAUGUAAAGCGUUUCAGGCGAAUCCAAGCCCCAUGGCGUCAUCCGAAAUGCUUUUAGAAUAUUCCCAAAAGAGACGUGUUCAAACCGAAGUGAGUCGUGAAAUGUUGGAUCACAUUCCACUUGGGGCACACAAACUUGAGCUUACUUCCUGUGAAUAUGUUUAGGAACAAGCUUUUCUUAUUAUACUCUCCAACGGUUAAGAAUAAGUGACUUUAUGCAACGGCAAUGAACGCUGACGCUGCCUUUAAUCUUUAAUCAAAACUUGAUUGGAUGUAGGUGUUAAUAUUUUAGUAGGCACUCGUAACCCUGCAAAAAGUGCGCUCAACCUUUUACGUGAAAAUUUAGUCGUUUUCCAUAAAGGUCUUUGCUCAUUGGGGACGCGCUCUGGAUUCUAUAUUCAGCAUUAGACCGAUGAACGUUUUUAAAUAAUUUUAGUGAUCCGAUUAAAGGGGGAAAACUCCGAAUGACUGCGCUAAAAUCCAUUUAGAUUUCUCGAUUUUGCAUGGUAUAGUGUCUGUUCUCAAAUAUUAGGAGAACUCGAUUAUUCAUGCAUAAUGCUGUGAUGACCCACCCCAUAGAGGGGACGCCCUUUCAGUGUUUUAGUAGAUACACUCAAGAUAUCGGCUAGAUGCAAGAUGAAUGAUGGAGAUAAAACUUGGCUGUCGCGCCCAAGUUUGGCACAGAAAAGUGCCAGUAUUGAUUUUUGCGAUUCAUAAAGCGCGGCAGUAUAAAGCCAACAGUGUGCAGGAGCGAUCCAACUAAAUCAAAUUCAAGUUUCAAAAUCGAGAUUUGUUGGGAAAUUCGAAACUCGAUUCAUUUUCAUUUUUUUAUUGCAGAUUUAUGUAAGAAAUUGUCAAAAGUGCAGCCUUUACAAACGCGAAGCUUUUUGGUGCACAUAGUUUCUACGAUCUCCCAAAUUUUAUACAUUAUUUCAUGGCAGUCUACAGCGCUGCAGUAAGAAAAAAGAGCCCUUUGAGGCAAACAAAUCUGUGCGAGCUGAUUCGAUUUUGAAUUUGUAUACACAAGAGCAGCUCUUUGGUUUUAGUGCUGCGCCGCUACAGCUCAUUAGCAGUUUAACAUCAGCAUUUCGUGUAACAGAACCGUCAUUCCCGGAACUUUUCCCUCUUUACUGCUUUGCGUUCAAAGGACGUUAACGUUUAAGUCGAAUGUUUGUUUUUUAUUAUUUCUCAUUUUCCCUUUCAGCAAUAUUUCGUAAAACUUUUGAAGGCAGAAGUCAGUUCAGACUGACGUCUUUUUUUAAGAUUCGUUCAGUGUUUUGGAAGUUUGGCCAUAAUCAGUUCUAAAGAUAGCAUUGCAUGUGCAACCCUCUAUCUAUAAAUGUCGACUAUUCCUGGCUGUCGACGUAAAUCCUAAAUAGUAAUGCAUGUCAGUUCGCCUCCCGGUAUCGAAGUUGAUUUUACUCAUUAGAGCGUCUGUACGGAAACGGAUUGGACGUCGUCUUAAGACCAAGUGCAGCCAUAGUUCAUUAUCAGUUUAUUGGAUAAGAUCCAUUUGGAGUUCAGACGGUCCCUUUCGCGGAGAUUACCAGUCAUUAUCAAGAGACGAUAGUCACUGAAGGAAGGAGUCAGGAACUAGGAACAAGUUUCCUAGUGGCUCAAGAGACAAGUUGCCAUUUGAGAGACAUACCGGGAAAGUUAAGGAUAAUAACGACAGGCCUGAUAAAGGACAGCCAUGCCAUAUAUUGUAGAACAAUCUGAAAUGAGAGAUCCAUCCAAUCUGUCUGCAGACCACUAGACGGACGGUCGAUGGAAUAUUAAAUGGAGGUCCAGCAACUUUUCUUAAUAAAUUAUACCUAUUCAUUUUUGUCUCUGGCAUACACGGCAGUCAGAAUCGAUCAACAUUUUUCAUUUCAUCUCUAUAUAUAGUUCUCUAUUUGUGCAAUUCAAGUCCUACUGUAUUUAUUUUUAUCCUCCAUACCUUAGCCUGCGUGUAUUCUUUGAUGCCUCUGGAGAUUUUGAAAGCAGGAGCAGGACCCGCAUCAAACACAAAUGACUUGUUCCAGGUGGCUUCAUCUUCCGCAUCAAAGUUAUCUUUCCCGAGAGUCGAGCAGGUCCGAGUGCCAAAGAAACGCACUGGAAAUAUAACCAUCUAUGAACUGGUCACGUUGGUCACGAAGAGGACGAUGGCUAGCUGCUUAUUACUACUGCUUACUAGCUGCCACGGAAACACAAAAAGGAAUUGGAUAGACCUACAGCAUCUCCAAAUCUCAGCAUGCUACUUUUUCACUUCCUUCGAUAUAUAGAAUAUGAGUCAUAGUAGCAGUAAAAUGAAUAGAGCAACUAUCGGAACAACCAUAGUGUGCAUGCGGUUUUUUAUUCUGAAUAUCUGAUGACCUUGUACAGCCUCAUCAACUUCAUUUUUGCAAAAUAAAUGUUCUUUAUUAGUG